RNAcentral lists this long non-coding RNA (343 nucleotides) under Setaria viridis. RNAcentral describes it as "long non-coding RNA (SVIR_LNC008430)". Lineage: Eukaryota; Viridiplantae; Streptophyta; Magnoliopsida; Poales; Poaceae. The record is from RNAcentral.
UUACAUUGCUGACGCGAGCGCAACGAGUCCCGUUGCUGUCAUGUUUAGAAUGAGGACCUUUUUCAUAUCUAUGUUAAAGUUGGACGACAAAAACAAAUCACUCCAUCGUCAUGUAUCACAUGUCAUCUUUUAUAAAAAAAACAUCGUUGUAUGUUUUCAAAGUAUUACAUACACGCAUGCACACUUAAGGCUCCCUUGGACUAUUGCAAACAUCGUUGUAUUUUUUAUCAAAGUAUUGCUUACGCAGACAUACUCACAUAUGUGCAUGCACACUUAUCCCUACAAACAUCUCCGAGAGGCUGAACAGACGUACAUGUUCAUAUAUACACACGCAACCCCAUCC